UACGUAGGGGGCAAGCGUUGUCCGGAAUCAUUGGGCGUAAAGCGCGCGUAGGUGGCCUCAUAAGUCCGCUGUGAAAGUCAAAGGCUCAACCUUUGAAAGCCGGUGGAUACUGUGGGGCUAGAGUACGGAAGAGGCGAGUGGAAUUCCUGGUGUAGCGGUGGAAUGCGCAGAUAUCAGGAGGGACACCAAUAGCGAAGGCAGCUCGCUGGGACGUUACUGACACUGAGGCGCGAAAGCGUGGGGAGCGAACAGG
Molecule: ribosomal RNA, 253 nt
Filed under: uncultured bacterium
Lineage: Bacteria
Description: partial 16S ribosomal RNA
Rfam family: Bacterial small subunit ribosomal RNA
Source: RNAcentral